RNAcentral lists this ribosomal RNA (253 nucleotides) under uncultured bacterium. RNAcentral describes it as "partial 16S ribosomal RNA". It matches the Rfam family "Bacterial small subunit ribosomal RNA", at positions 524 to 776 of the family's 1533-position model. The record is from RNAcentral.
UACGUAGGGGGCAAGCGUUGUCCGGAUUUAUUGGGCGUAAAGAGCGUGUAGGCGGCUUGGUAGGUCCGCUGUGAAAACUCGAGGCUCAACCUCGAGAUGUCGGCGGAAACCACUUGGCUAGAGUCCGGAAGAGGAGAGUGGAAUUCCUGGUGUAGCGGUGAAAUGCGCAGAUAUCAGGAAGAACACCUAUGGCGAAGGCAGCUCUCUGGGACGGUACUGACGCUGAGACGCGAAAGCAUGGGGAGCGAACAGG